RNAcentral lists this ribosomal RNA (500 nucleotides) under uncultured Glomeromycotina. RNAcentral's name for it is "partial small subunit ribosomal RNA". It matches the Rfam family "Eukaryotic small subunit ribosomal RNA", at positions 591 to 1092 of the family's 1831-position model. The record is from RNAcentral. Lineage: Eukaryota; Fungi; Glomeromycota.
CCAAUAGCGUAUAUUAAAGUUGUUGCAGUUAAAAAGCUCGUAGUUGAAUUUCGGGAUCAAUUUAUCGGUCGUGCCUAUGGUAUGAACUGGUACAAUUGGUUUCUCCCUUCUGACGAAGCAUGAUGUCAUUAAUUUGGUGUCGUGGGGAAUCAGGACUGUUACUUUGAAAAAAUUAGAGUGUUUAAAGCAAGCAUUAGCUUGAAUACAUUAGCAUGGAAUAAUGAAAUAGGACGUUUGAUCCUAUUUCGUUGGUUUCUAGGAUCGACGUAAUGAUUAAUAGGGAUAGUUGGGGGCAUUAGUAUUCAAUUGUCAGAGGUGAAAUUCUUGGAUUUAUUGAAGACUAACUACUGCGAAAGCAUUUGCCAAGGAUGUUUUCAUUAAUCAAGAACGAAAGUUAGGGGAUCGAAGACGAUCAGAUACCGUCGUAGUCUUAACCAUAAACUAUGCCGACUAGGGAUCGGAUGAUGUUAAUUUUAUAAUGACUCAUUCGGCGCCUUACG